GUCGAGCGGACCUUUCGGGGUCAGCGGCGGACGGGUGAGUAACGCGUGGGAACGUGCCUUCCGGUUCGGAAUAACCCUGGGAAACUAGGGCUAAUACCGGAUACGCCCUUAUGGGGAAAGGUUUACUGCCGGAAGAUCGGCCCGCGUCUGAUUAGCUAGUUGGUGGGGUAACGGCCUACCAAGGCGACGAUCAGUAGCUGGUCUGAGAGGAUGAUCAGCCACACUGGGACUGAGACACGGCCCAGACUCCUACGGGAGGCAGCAGUGGGGAAUAUUGGACAAUGGGCGCAAGCCUGAUCCAGCCAUGCCGCGUGAGUGAUGAAGGCCUUAGGGUUGUAAAGCUCUUUUAUCCGGGACGAUAAUGACGGUACCGGAGGAAUAAGCCCCGGCUAACUUCGUGCCAGCAGCCGCGGUAAUACGAAGGGGGCUAGCGUUGCUCGGAAUCACUGGGCGUAAAGGGCGCGUAGGCGGCGUUUUAAGUCGGGGGUGAAAGCCUGUGGCUCAACCACAGAAUGGCCUUCGAUACUGGGACGCUUGAGUAUGGUAGAGGUUGGUGGAACUGCGAGUGUAGAGGUGAAAUUCGUAGAUAUUCGCAAGAACACCGGUGGCGAAGGCGGCCAACUGGACCAUUACUGACGCUGAGGCGCGAAAGCGUGGGGAGCAAAACAGGAUUAGAUACCCUGGUAGUCCACGCCGUAAACGAUGAAAUGCCAGCUGUUGGGGUGCUUGCACCGCA
This 736-nucleotide ribosomal RNA is filed under the name Methylobacterium fujisawaense. RNAcentral describes it as "bacterial SSU rRNA". It matches the Rfam family "Bacterial small subunit ribosomal RNA", at positions 61 to 842 of the family's 1533-position model. The record is from RNAcentral. Lineage: Bacteria; Pseudomonadati; Pseudomonadota; Alphaproteobacteria; Hyphomicrobiales; Methylobacteriaceae.